CGUUCUGUAAGCCUGCGAAGGUGGCCUGUGAGGGUUGCUGGAGGUAUCAGAAGUGCGAAUGCUGACAUAAGUAACGAUAAAGCGGGUGAAAAGCCCGCUCGCCGGAAGACCAAGGGUUCCUGUCCAACGUUAAUCGGGGCAGGGUGAGUCGACCCCUAAGGCGAGGCCGAAAGGCGUAGUCGAUGGGAAACGGGUUAAUAUUCCCGUACUUGGUGUUACUGCGAAGGGGGGACGGAGAAGGCUAUGUUGGCCGGGCGACGGUUGUCCCGGUUUAAGCGUGUAGGUGUGUGUUCCAGGUAAAUCCGGUUCACUUUAACACUGAGGCGUGACGACGAGGCACUACGGUGCUGAAGCAACAAAUGCCCUGCUUCCAGGAAAAGCCUCUAAGCAUCAGGUAACAUCAAAUCGUACCCCAAACCGACACAGGUGGUCAGGUAGAGAAUACCAAGGCGCUUGAGAGAACUCGGGUGAAGGAACUAGGCAAAAUGGUGCCGUAACUUCGGGAGAAGGCACGCUGACACGUAGGUGAAGUGAUUUACUCACGGAGCUGAAGUCAGUCGAAGAUACCAGCUGGCUGCAACUGUUUAUUAAAAACACAGCACUGUGCAAACACGAAAGUGGACGUAUACGGUGUGACGCCUGCCCGGUGCCGGAAGGUUAAUUGAUGGGGUCAGCGCAAGCGAAGCUCCUGAUCGAAGCCCCGGUAAACGGCGGCCGUAACUAUAACGGUCCUAAGGUAGCGAAAUUCCUUGUCGGGUAAGUUCCGACCUGCACGAAUGGCGUAAUGAUGGCCAGGCUGUCUCCACCCGAGACUCAGUGAAAUUGAACUCGCUGUGAAGAUGCAGUGUACCCGCGGCAAGACGGAAAGACCCCGUGAACCUUUACUAUAGCUUGACACUGAACAUUGAGCCUUGAUGUGUAGGAUAGGUGGGAGGCUUUGAAGCGUGGACGCCAGUCUGCGUGGAGCCGACCUUGAAAUACCACCCUUUAAUGUUUGAUGUUCUAACGUGGACCCGUUACCCGGGUUGCGGACAGUGUCUGGUGGGUAGUUUGACUGGGGCGGUCUCCUCCUAAAGAGUAACGGAGGAGCACGAAGGUUGGCUAAUCCUGGUCGGACAUCAGGAGGUUAGUGCAAUGGCAUAAGCCAGCUUGACUGCGAGCGUGACGGCGCGAGCAGGUGCGAAAGCAGGUCAUAGUGAUCCGGUGGUUCUGAAUGGAAGGGCCAUCGCUCAACGGAUAAAAGGUACUCCGGGGAUAACAGGCUGAUACCGCCCAAGAGUUCAUAUCGACGGCGGUGUUUGGCACCUCGAUGUCGGCUCAUCACAUCCUGGGGCUGAAGUAGGUCCCAAGGGUAUGGCUGUUCGCCAUUUAAAGUGGUACGCGAGCUGGGUUUAGAACGUCGUGAGACAGUUCGGUCCCUAUCUGCCGUGGGCGCUGGAGAACUGAGGGGGGCUGCUCCUAGUACGAGAGGACCGGAGUGGACGCAUCACUGGUGUUCGGGUUGUCAUGCCAAUGGCACUGCCCGGUAGCUAAAUGCGGAAGAGAUAAGUGCUGAAAGCAUCUAAGCACGAAACUUGCCCCGAGAUGAGUUCUCCCUGAGACUUAGAGUCUCCUGAAGGAACGUUGAAGACGACGACGUUGAUAGGCCGGGUGUGUAAGCGCAGCGAUGCGUUGAGCUAACCGGUACUAAUGAACCGUGAGGCUUAACCUUACAACGCCGAAG
Molecule: ribosomal RNA, 1723 nt
Filed under: Salmonella enterica
Lineage: Bacteria; Pseudomonadati; Pseudomonadota; Gammaproteobacteria; Enterobacterales; Enterobacteriaceae
Description: partial 23S ribosomal RNA
Rfam family: Bacterial large subunit ribosomal RNA
Source: RNAcentral